RNAcentral lists this ribosomal RNA (2180 nucleotides) under Anaerococcus sp. RNAcentral's name for it is "partial 23S ribosomal RNA". It matches the Rfam family "Bacterial large subunit ribosomal RNA", at positions 1 to 2007 of the family's 2925-position model. Lineage: Bacteria; Bacillati; Bacillota; Tissierellia; Tissierellales; Peptoniphilaceae. The record is from RNAcentral.
AGUCAAGAAAGAAAGGGCACAAGGUGGAUGCCUUGGCACAUGAAGGCGAAAAAGGACGUAAGUGAACGAAAACUAGGGUAAGCUCACAAAAAGCACUGACCCCUAGGUCUCCGAAUGGGGCAACCCGGUUGUGGAAGACACAAUCAUUACUAAGUGAAUACAUAGCUUAGUAAGGCGACACCCUGCGAACUGAAACAUCUAAGUAGCAGGAGGAAAAGAAAGAAAAUUCGAUUUUCUAAGUAGCGGCGAGCGAAAGGAAAAGAGCCUAACUCAUUAGUGAUUUGGUAAUGUUAGUCAAAUUAUCUGAAAAGAUAAACCAAAGAAAGUGAAAGUCUUGUAGACGAAAGCAUUACUAAACGAGAGGGAAAGUAUCACCGGGCACGAGUAACCCGGUGUGAAGAUAGGGGGCCCAUCCCCUAAGGCUAAAUACUAACAUGUGACCGAUAGUGAACAAGUACCGUGAGGGAAAGGUGAAAAGAACCCCGAAAGGGGAGUGAAAUAGAACCUGAAACCUAGUGCCUACAAGCAGACAGAGCGUGAACGAACGUGAUGUCGUACCUUUUGUAGAAUGGGCCAGCGAGUUAUUCUAAAUUGCGAGGUUAAUGAUUUAAGAUCAGAAGCCGUAGCGAAAGCGAGUCUUAAUAGGGCGAAAGUAAGUUAGAAUAGACCCGAAACCGGGUGAUCUAUCCAUGGUCAGAGUGAAGUUGAAGUAAAAUUCAAUGGAGGCUCGAACCGGGUGCGGUUUAAAACGCAUCGGAUGAACUGUGGAUAGGGGCGAAAAACCAAACGAACCCGGAGAUAGCUGGUUCUCCUCGAAAUAGCUUUAGGGCUAGCCUCUGACCUAAGAUUUUAGGGGGUAGAGCACUGAAUGGUCUAGGGCGGGUUACCGUACCAAAACCUAUCAAACUCCGAAUACCAAAAAAUCAAGUCAGGGAGUCAGACUUAGGGGGAUAAGCUUCUAAGUCGAAAGGGAAACAGCCCAGACCGACAGCUAAGGUCCCAAAAUUUGAAUUAAGUGGAAAAGGAUGUGAAUCUACUAAGACAACCAGGACGUUGGCUUAGAAGCAGCCAUGCAUUUAAAGAAUGCGUAAUAGCUCACUGGUCAAGUGGGUUUGCGCCGAAAAUGAACGGGGCUAAAUUCAAUACCGAAGCUUCGGAUUAAUAGAGGGAUUAAGUUUACAAAUGAGACUAGGAAAUAUUUAACAAAAAACAAUAACAGAAGAGAUUAAAAAAGAAAUACAAAUUUCAGACGCAGACAUAAAAGAUAGGAUAUUAAAGAUAAGAAAAAAUAUUCAAAAAACACAAGUCUAAAGUCAAAGUAGGUAUCAUAAGAAAUUAUGAACUAACAAUCACUGGUUAAGAGUUAAAAAAAACUAGGACUCAUAGCUAAACUUAAUACCUCUAUUAGUGGUAGAGGAGCAUUGUAUUAGAGACGAAGCCAAGGCGAAAGCAAAAGUGGAUUUAAUACAAGAGAGAAUGCUGGCAUGAGUAGCGAGAAGGAGUGUGAGAAUCACUCCCGUCGAAACCCUAAGGACUCCUGAGCAAGGCUCGUCCCCUCAGGGAAAGUCGGGACCUAAGCCAAGGCCGAAAGGCGUAGGCGAUGGAUAACAGGUUUAUAUUCCUGUACCGCUUGAAGUCGUUAAGAGAGAUGUGAUGACGCAAAAGGAUAAUCAAAGCCAUCCGAUGGAUGAUGGUCUAAAGCCGUAGGAAGAAAAGUAGGCAAAUCCGCUUUUCACAAAUUCUGAAAGCCGAUAGGUAUCGAAAACAUAAGUAGAGAAGUUGAUGACUCCAUGUUGCCAAGAAAAGUCACUAUCCAGACCAAAGCGCCCGUACCAAAACCGACACAGGUAGGGAGGUAGAGAAUACCAAGACGCGCGGAAGAACCUUUGUUAAGGAACUCGGCAAAAUGUCCCCGUAACUUCGGGAGAAGGGGAGCCUGAGCGAUCAGGCCACAGAAACCAGGCCCAAGCGACUGUUUACCAAAAACACAAGUUUCUGCAAAAUCGCAAGAUGAAGUAUAGGAGCUGACACCUGCCCGGUGCUGGAAGGUUAAGGGGAAGGCUUAGAGCAAUCGAAGGCUAGAACUUAAGCCCCAGUAAACGGCGGCCGUAACUAUAACGGUCCUAAGGUAGCGAAAUUCCUUGUCGGGUAAGUUCCGACCCGCACGAAAGGUGUAACGA